Molecule: ribosomal RNA, 331 nt
Filed under: uncultured Chloroflexota bacterium
Lineage: Bacteria; Bacillati; Chloroflexota
Description: bacterial SSU rRNA
Rfam family: Bacterial small subunit ribosomal RNA
Source: RNAcentral
GAUGAACGCUGGCGGCGUGCUUAAUACAUGCAAGUCGAACGGAGACUGUAGCAAUACUGUCUUAGUGGCGAACGGGUGAGUAACGCGUUGGUGACCUGCCCCGAAGAGGGGGAUAACAGUCCGAAAGGAUUGCUAAUACCCCAUGUGGUCGUUUGGAUUAGAUGCCUUAUGACUAAACGGAUUUAUUCGCUUCGGGAGGGGCCUGCGUCCCAUCAGCUAGUUGGUAAGGUAAUGGCUUACCAAGGCUAUGACGGGUAGGGGACCUGAGAGGGUGGCCCCCCACAAUAGGAACGUAGAACAACGGUCCGACUACACCUACCGGGUGGGCACG